UGGCGGACGGGUGAGUAACGCGCGGGAACGUGCCCUUUGGUUCGGAAAUAGCCUCGGGAAACUGGGAGUAAUACCGGAUACGGUCGGAAGACGAAAGAUUUAUCGCCGAAGGAUCGGCCCGCGUUGGAUUAGGUAGUUGGUGGGUAAAGGCCUACCAAGCCGACGAUCCAUAGCUGGUUUGAGAGGAUGAUCAGCCACACUGGGACUGAGACACGGCCCAGACCCCUACGGGAGGCAGCAGUGGGGAAUCUUAGACAAUGGGGGAAACCCUGAUCUAGCCAUGCCGCGUGAUCGAUGAAGGCCUUAGGGUUGUAAAGAUCUUUCAGUGGGGAAGAUAAUGACGGUACCCACAGAAGAAGCCCCGGCUAACUCCGUG
This 376-nucleotide ribosomal RNA is filed under the name uncultured bacterium. RNAcentral describes it as "bacterial SSU rRNA". It matches the Rfam family "Bacterial small subunit ribosomal RNA", at positions 96 to 507 of the family's 1533-position model. The record is from RNAcentral.